GUUUAUCUACUGAGGUAGUUUUGCUUUUGGUUUCACAAGGAAAACUUCACUGGUAUUCGCACAACUAUACAAAGACAAUAAAUGAAACCCCAAAAGCAGAAAAAUGCAAAAGUACAAAAAAGGAAUACUUUUGGACAUAUUCAUGGAAAGAGCGAGAAGGAUAACAUGCAGUCUGAUACAGAUCACAGGAGUGACAUGAGAGGGGCACAUGAUUUGGAGCUGAGUUUGGUCCUAGGACUUGUGACAUUUAGUGUUUAUUUCACCACUUUGUACCCAUCAUUACCAGGAGGUGACUCAGG
Pecten maximus is the source of this 299-nucleotide long non-coding RNA. RefSeq lists it as uncharacterized. NCBI's taxonomy places the organism in Eukaryota, Metazoa, Mollusca, Bivalvia, Pectinida, Pectinidae. The record is from RefSeq and is a predicted model, not a curated record. The transcript is spliced from 3 exons.